Thunnus maccoyii (southern bluefin tuna) is the source of this 1003-nucleotide long non-coding RNA. RefSeq lists it as uncharacterized. Lineage: Eukaryota; Metazoa; Chordata; Actinopteri; Scombriformes; Scombridae. The record is from RefSeq and is a predicted model, not a curated record. The transcript has 3 exons.
CUUAAGCCUCUUACUUGUGUUGCUUAAGGAAGCGAGUAGGAUGUGUUUCAGUCCGUCUUUCAGGUCCGAGAUGACGGGGCCGUCCUCUCACUCUGUCCGCAGGUUCACGGCAAGCUGAUCCUCAGCGGCAUUGCGGAGGAAACAGCGGAGUCGACUCAGUUAAAGACGAGCAGAGCAUAGAGGUUAUCCUCCGUCUCUCUUCUGCAGGAAAGGUGGAAGAGGACUGGGUUGCACAGCAGUCUUCUUUGGAUCCAGUUGAACACAAAGAAAUAUCCACUUGUCCAGUGAGGUUGAGAUUGUAUGGCCUAGUUACAGUCACAUACAUAUGGGAGCUACUUCCUUACAUCAGCUGGAAGCGUAGUUCAGACAGUUAGUGGUGUGUUUAUACUCAGUGACAUCACGGCUGGGAAGAGGAAAUCCCGUGCCUUUCCAGAAGGUCUCGUCCAAUGAGAGCCGAGAGUUUGACUCUGCCGGAUUUCACUCCUAGGUGUGAAUUGAGCAGAGCAUGAUGGGAGUUGAAGUCUGUUUGGAGUCUUUUUGUUUGACUUGGCACCUUUCUUUACCAGGCUUUGUGACUGCAUGCAGACAUAGUAACAUAUCCAUCUAUUGGGUAAGAUUCCAGAUUUCAGAUCUUUUGGAGAUGGAGAUGUGAACAUGCCAGAGGGUUGGCUGUGCUUUGGUUUUAUGGCCACAUAAAAUGUGCGUUUGCGUCUCUCAUCUUGGUGAUACUCCAUGUACUCCAGAUGCAGUGUGCCUAUCUGCUCCAGGGAACAACAUCACCUCAAGUUGCACUAUUGAGGUCUAAACACGGCCCUGCAUUUGAACAACGGAUGCACCGAUCUGACUUUUUCAGUCCCGAUACUGAUACUUGGACUUUGGGUAUCGUCAAUACCGAGUACUGAUCCAUUACCAGUAUUUAAUUAAACAGCUGUACGUUUCACUGUGGAGGCGACUGGGAUCUUUCUUUUAUGUGUGAGGCAGCAUUAUACUUGACUUUGCUUUC